Molecule: non-coding RNA, 989 nt
Organism: Trachemys scripta elegans
Lineage: Eukaryota; Metazoa; Chordata; Testudines; Emydidae
Source: the annotation of a RefSeq genome assembly
GGCCCCUGGGGUAUGUGCACUUCUUGACACCCAGGGCUCCACUGGGAGCUAACUGCACAUUUUCAAGGUUUUGUUCAUCCCAACCCUGAAGUGUUCCUGGGCCAGAUCCACAAAGGAUGACUCCUAACCAAGACCACACAGCAGACCCCGGUGGGAGGAGAUUCCCUUUGGCUCACCCAAUAGCUCUUCUAUCUAUGGGACACCCCAGGACAGGACAGUCUGCACCAGAUGGGCAUCCUCUGUGGAGGAAUAAAAUGUGGGUGGUUGCCUUUGAAAGUCAAGCCACAUGGCAGCCACGUUCCUCCACAUGCCACCUUUCUGCACCUUCCAUCGGUGUCUCAAAGUGUCUUUCCCAGAGGGGCCAGUGUCGCCGGAAUCCCACCCCAACGUGGCUGGGGAAAACCGUGGUUGAUUUUGCCAGGCCUAGCAACACUGUGUUCUGGCAGCACUGUGUACUUUGGAGAGGGGACCAGACUCAUUGUCUUAGAGGAUGUGUCCAACAUCACUGCCCCCAAAGUGGCCAUCUUUCCCCCAUCGAAACAGGAGAUCAAAGAGAAGAGGAAGGCCACCCUGGUGUGCCUGGUCACAGGUUUCUACCCUGACCACAUCAAGCUGGUUUGGCGGGUGAAUGGUGUUGAGAGGAAAGAAGGGGUGAGGACGGAUGAAUCUCUUAUGGACAAAAACAAAGAAAAAUACUCACUGACCAGCCGCCUGAGGCUCUCACUCCAGGAAUGGUCCAACCCCAAGAACGUAUUCCACUGCGGUGUUGAAUUCUGCGGGAAUAAGACACAAACAUAUGAUGAAGUCAUCAGUGGUGUAGCUGAUUGCAGUGUCUCAGAAGCAAGUGCAGUAGAAGAAGCUGGCCCAAGGUGGAUGACACAACUUCCUGGAGAAAGAAGGAGCUGCAGCUGCAUUCGUUUUACAAGUCCUGAUUUUUUUCAGAAACCAGCACAGCACUUAGGCUUUUGUUACAAUAAAUGUACAAAGAC